This 531-nucleotide ribosomal RNA is filed under the name uncultured eukaryote. RNAcentral's name for it is "SSU rRNA". It matches the Rfam family "Eukaryotic small subunit ribosomal RNA", at positions 21 to 549 of the family's 1831-position model. The record is from RNAcentral.
UAGUCAUAUGCUUGUCUCAAAGAUUAAGCCAUGCAUGUCUAAGUACAUACCUUUGCACGGUGAAACCGCGAAUGCUCAUUAAAUCAGUUAUGGUUCCUUAGAUCGUUCUUUUUACAUGGAUAACAGUGGUAAUUCUAGAGCUAAUACAUGCAAAAAGCUCCGACCGUAUGGGAAGAGCGCUUUUAUUAGACCAAAACCAAUGGGGUCGCAAGAUCCCUUUGUCUGGUGACUCUGGAUAACUUUGUGCUGAUCGCAUGGCCUAGAGCCGGCGACGUAUCUUUCAAGUGUCUGCCCUAUCAACUUUCGAUGGUAAGCGAUUUGCCUACCAUGGUUGUAACGGGUAACGGGGAAUCAGGGUUCGAUUCCGGAGAGGGAGCAUGAGAAAUGGCUACCACAUCUACGGAAGGCAGCAGGCGCGCAAAUUACCCACUCCUAGAACGGGGAGGUAGUGACGAAAAAUAACAAUACCGGACUCAAUGAGGCUCGGUAAGUGAAAUGAGUACAGUUUAAAACCCUUAACGAGGAUCUAUU